Long non-coding RNA from Helianthus annuus (common sunflower), 384 nucleotides. RefSeq lists it as uncharacterized. The record is from RefSeq and is a predicted model, not a curated record. Lineage: Eukaryota; Viridiplantae; Streptophyta; Magnoliopsida; Asterales; Asteraceae. The transcript is spliced from 2 exons.
AAAAUGUAUGCAUACAAACCCAUUUGGGUGGGACUCGAUUGGGUUGUUGUGGCGUAAAACCCGACUAAUUUUUUUAGCCAAGCUUCAAGUCGAUUAAGUAGCUCAAGUCAACCACAUGCUCUUAUGUAGGUUCUUGGGCUCGUUCUAAGGUUGGUCGUUCUUACAGUUCGUUCGUUUCUUGAGAUAAAAGCACUUUAUUAAGGUAAGAAGAAGGUUUGAAUGUUGGCGGCUCUUUGGUAUUGGCAGCGGUUACCCGGCAUCUUUUAAUGAUUUGGCAUUUCCCGUGUUUUGAACAUUUAACACACUCUAGUCGUUUUAGUACUUUGACGUUUGUUCGUACUUUAUUUAAAUUUUUCCGCUGCGUAUUGAUGACAUUUUGGUCUA